Molecule: ribosomal RNA, 1017 nt
Filed under: Chrysaora quinquecirrha
Lineage: Eukaryota; Metazoa; Cnidaria; Scyphozoa; Semaeostomeae; Pelagiidae
Description: eukaryotic LSU rRNA
Rfam family: Eukaryotic large subunit ribosomal RNA
Source: RNAcentral
CUGUUGCUUGCAACAGCGAAUUGUAGUCUCGAGAAGCGUUUUCCCGGUGGACCAGUCCUGUCUAAGUUGCUUGGAACAGCACAUCGAAGAGGGUGACAAUCCCGUGCGUGACUGGACUGGCUGCCAACGAUACGCUUUCCAUGAGUCGGGUUGCUUGGGAAUGCAGCCCAAAAUUGGUGGUAAACUCCAUCUAAAGCUAAAUAUUGGCACGAGACCGAUAGCGAACAAGUACCGUGAGGGAAAGAUGAAAAGAACUUUGAAAAGAGAGUUAAACAGUGCGUGAAACCGUUAGAGGGGAAACGGAUGCAGUUAGCAAUGCUUCGGCGAGAUUCAGGCGUUUCGUUUCAUCGGACUUGCAGCGUGCGGAUCCGAAUGGACCGUCGCUGUUCGGCUCGGUGAUGUGUUCGUCGCACUUCUCGUCGGAGCGCGUCAACAGUUGUUCUGUCUGGGCGAUAAGGCACCCGGGAAGGUAGGCGGGUACUUCGGUACGUGCUGUUAUAGCCCGUGGUGAUACAAGUUCGGACGGGGCAGAGGCGAUCGGUGCAUGCUUCUCUUCGGAGAGGCUGGCGCCCUUCUCUUGACAGAAUGUCGACCAUGGCGGACUGCUUGCAGUGCGUCUGAAMUGCUUUUUGUCACUCGGGAGGAUCGUGCACACAUGCACUUUGGUUGUUGGCGGCCAUAUGGCUUCAUCCGACCCGUCUUGAAACACGGACCAAGGAGUCUAACAUGUGCGCAAGUCUUGGGGUGAUCGAAACCCAGAGGCACAAUGAAAGUAAAGGCUGCCUGGCAGCCGAGGUGAGAUCUUCGUUCUGCGCGUUCGAAGCGCAUCAUCGACCGACCUAUUCUACUCUUAGAAAGGUUUGAGUAAGAGCGCAUCUGUUGGGACCCGAAAGAUGGUGAACUAUGCCUGAGUAGGGUGAAGCCAGAGGAAACUCUGGUGGAAGCUCGUAGCGAUUCUGACGUGCAAAUCGAUCGUCGAACUUGGGUAUAGGGGCGAAAGACUAAUCGAACCAUCUA